AUAUAUUUGGGAGCCAUCGA
This 20-nucleotide non-coding RNA is filed under the name Rattus norvegicus (Norway rat). The record is from RNAcentral. Lineage: Eukaryota; Metazoa; Chordata; Mammalia; Rodentia; Muridae.